AAAGUCGUAACAAGGUAACCGUAGGUGAACCUGCGGUUGGAUCAUUAAAAAAGUGGGGUGCUUUAGUGCGCCCCUUCUUGGGUGAAUGUCGCAAGACUGCAGCCCAAUAAACCUUGUGCAAUUUGGCAGGAUACCAGAGUGUAACUACUCUUAGGCCUGCCCAUUUAUAAACAACCACUUUUAAAAGUCUGAAUGAGAAACACCAAUGAGAAACAACUUUUGACAACGGAUCUCUUGGCUCUC
RNAcentral lists this unclassified non-coding RNA (243 nucleotides) under Chytridiomycota sp. Its description in RNAcentral is "partial contains small subunit ribosomal RNA, internal transcribed spacer 1, and 5.8S ribosomal RNA". The stretch from base 1 to 47 matches the Rfam family "Eukaryotic small subunit ribosomal RNA", at positions 1785 to 1831 of the family's 1831-position model. Lineage: Eukaryota; Fungi; Chytridiomycota. The record is from RNAcentral.